RNAcentral lists this ribosomal RNA (253 nucleotides) under uncultured bacterium. RNAcentral's name for it is "partial 16S ribosomal RNA". It matches the Rfam family "Bacterial small subunit ribosomal RNA", at positions 524 to 776 of the family's 1533-position model. The record is from RNAcentral.
GACGUAGGGUGCAAGCGUUGUCCGGAUUUAUUGGGCGUAAAGGGCUCGUAGGCGGUUUGUCGCGUCGGGAGUGAAAACUCAGGGCUUAACCCUGAGCCUGCUUCCGAUACAGGCAGACUAGAGGUAUGCAGGGGAGAACGGAAUUCCUGGUGUAGCGGUGAAAUGCGCAGAUAUCAGGAGGAACACCGGUGGCGAAGGCGGUUCUCUGGGCAUUACCUGACGCUGAGGAGCGAAAGUGUGGGGAGCGAACAGG